RNAcentral lists this ribosomal RNA (220 nucleotides) under uncultured bacterium. RNAcentral describes it as "partial 16S ribosomal RNA". It matches the Rfam family "Bacterial small subunit ribosomal RNA", at positions 1277 to 1500 of the family's 1533-position model. The record is from RNAcentral.
UAAACGUCUCAGUUCGGAUUGUAGUCUGCAACUCGACUACAUGAAGUCGGAAUUGCUAGUAAUCGCAGAUCAGCAUGCUGCGGUGAAUACGUUCCCGGGCCUUGUACACACCGCCCGUCACACCAUGAGAGUUGGGGAUACCCGAAGCCUGUGAGCUAACUUUUAGAGGCAGCAGUCGAAGGUAGAAUCAAUGAUUGGGGUGAAGUCGUAACAAGGUAAC